RNAcentral lists this unclassified non-coding RNA (336 nucleotides) under plant metagenome. RNAcentral describes it as "partial contains 5.8S ribosomal RNA, internal transcribed spacer 2, and large subunit ribosomal RNA". The stretch from base 1 to 104 matches the Rfam family "5.8S ribosomal RNA", at positions 50 to 154 of the family's 154-position model. The record is from RNAcentral.
GAAACGCGAAAGGUAAUGCGAAUUGCAGAAUCAGUGAGUCAUCGAAUCUUUGAACGCACAUUGCGCCUCUCGGUAUUCCGGGAGGCACGCCUGUUCGAGCGCCAUUACAAACUCCAAGCGUGGCUUGAUGUUGGGCGAUGUCUUUUUGCGAGAGCGGAGACACGCCUGGAACGCGUUGGCGCCGCCGCCGGACCACGAGCGUAGCAAGACGAGAGUCAAUCGCAUCGAUUUGGAUUCCGACGGAGGUCCGCCAUGGGACUGCACUUUCGAGUGUAAGUUCACAACUUCUCUAAAGUUUGGCCUCGGAUCAGGCGGAGAUACCCGCUGAACUUAGGC